GACGAACGCUGGCGGCGUGCCUAAUACAUGCAAGUUGAGCGCUGAAGGUUGGUACUUGUACCAACUGGAUGAGCAGCGAACGGGUGAGUAACGCGUGGGGAAUCUGCCUUUGAGCGGGGGACAACAUUUGGAAACGAAUGCUAAUACCGCAUAAAAACUUUAAACACAAGUUUUAAGUUUGAAAGAUGCAAUUGCAUCACUCAAAGAUGAUCCCGCGUUGUAUUAGCUAGUUGGUGAGGUAAAGGCUCACCAAGGCGAUGAUACAUAGCCGACCUGAGAGGGUGAUCGGCCACAUUGGGACUGAGACACGGCCCAAACUCCUACGGGAGGCAGCAGUAGGGAAUCUUCGGCAAUGGACGAAAGUCUGACCGAGCAACGCCGCGUGAGUGAAGAAGGUUUUCGGAUCGUAAAACUCUGUUGGUAGAGAAGAACGUUGGUGAGAGUGAAAAGCUCAUCAAGUGACGGUAACUACCCAGAAAGGGACGGCUAACUACGUG
RNAcentral lists this ribosomal RNA (497 nucleotides) under uncultured bacterium. RNAcentral's name for it is "partial 16S ribosomal RNA". It matches the Rfam family "Bacterial small subunit ribosomal RNA", at positions 28 to 507 of the family's 1533-position model. The record is from RNAcentral.